AUUGAACGCUGGCUGCAGGCCUAACACAUGCAAGUCGAACGAGUGGCGGACGGGUGAGUAAUGUCUGGGAAACUGCCCGAUGGAGGGGGAUAACUACUGGAACCGGUAGCUAAUACCGCAUACCAUCGGAUCUGCCCAGAUGGGAUUAGCUAGUAGGGGGGGUAACGGCUCACCUAGGCGACGAUCCCUAGCUGGUCUGAGAGGAUGACCAGCCACACUGGAACUGAGACACGGCCCAGACUCCGACGGGAGGCAGCAGUGGGGAAUAUUGCACAAUGGGCGCAAGCCUGAUGCAGCCAUGCCGCGUGUAUGAAGAAGGCCUUCGGGUUGUAAAGUACUUUCAGCGAGGAGGCGUUACUCGCAGAAGAAGCAACGGCUAACUCCGUGCCAGCAGCCGCGGUAAUUC
Molecule: ribosomal RNA, 406 nt
Filed under: uncultured bacterium
Lineage: Bacteria
Description: partial 16S ribosomal RNA
Rfam family: Bacterial small subunit ribosomal RNA
Source: RNAcentral